AGUUCGAUCAUGGCUCAGGAUGAACGCUGGCGGCGUGCCUAACACAUGCAAGUCGAGCGAUUUACUUCGGUAAAGAGCGGCGGACGGGUGAGUAACGCGUGGGUAACCUGCCCUGUACACACGGAUAACAUACCGAAAGGUAUGCUAAUACGAGAUAAAAUACUUUUAUCGCAUGGUAGAAGUAUCAAAGCUUUUGCGGUACAGGAUGGACCCGCGUCUGAUUAGCUAGUUGGUAAGGUAACGGCUUACCAAGGCGACGAUCAGUAGCCGACCUGAGAGGGUGAUCGGCCACAUUGGAACUGAGACACGGUCCAAACUCCUACGGGAGGCAGCAGUGGGGAAUAUUGCACAAUGGGCGAAAGCCUGAUGCAGCAACGCCGCGUGAGCGAUGAAGGCCUUCGGGUCGUAAAGCUCUGUCCUCAAGGAAGAUAAUGACGGUACUUGAGGAGGAAGCCCCGGCUAACUACGUGCCAGCAGCCGCGGUAAUACGUAGGGGGCUAGCGUUAUCCGGAAUUACUGGGCGUAAAGGGUGCGUAGGUGGUUUCUUAAGUCAGAGGUGAAAGGCUACGGCUCAACCGUAGUAAGCCUUUGAAACUGGGGAACUUGAGUGCAGGAGAGGAGAGUGGAAUUCCUAGUGUAGAGGUGAAAUGCGUAGAUAUUAGGAGGAACACCAGUUGCGAAGGCGGCUCUCUGGACUGUAACUGACACUGAGGCACGAAAGCGUGGGGAGCAAACAGGAUUAGAUACCCUGGUAGUCCACGCCGUAAACGAUGAGUACUAGCUGUCGGAGGUUACCCCCUUCGGUGGCGCAGCUAACGCAUUAAGUACUCCGCCUGGGAAGUACGCUCGCAAGAGUGAAACUCAAAGGAAUUGACGGGGACCCGCACAAGUAGCGGAGCAUGUGGUUUAAUUCGAAGCAACGCGAAGAACCUUACCUAAGCUUGACAUCCUUUUGACCGAUGCCUAAUCGUAUCUUUCCCUUCGGGGACAGAAGUGACAGGUGGUGCAUGGUUGUCGUCAGCUCGUGUCGUGAGAUGUUGGGUUAAGUCCCGCAACGAGCGCAACCCUUGCCUUUAGUUGCCAGCAUUAAGUUGGGCACUCUAGAGGGACUGCCAGGGAUAACCUGGAGGAAGGUGGGGAUGACGUCAAAUCAUCAUGCCCCUUAUGCUUAGGGCUACACACGUGCUACAAUGGGUGGUACAGAGGGCAGCCAAGUCGUGAGGCGGAGCUAAUCCCUUAAAGCCAUUCUCAGUUCGGAUUGUAGGCUGAAACUCGCCUACAUGAAGCUGGAGUUACUAGUAAUCGCAGAUCAGAAUGCUGCGGUGAAUGCGUUCCCGGGUCUUGUACACACCGCCCGUCACACCACGGAAGUUGGGGGCGCCCGAAGCCACUUAGCUAACCCUUUUGGGAAGCGAGUGUCGAAGGUGAAAUCAAUAACUGGGGUGAAGUCGUAACAAGGUAUCC
Molecule: ribosomal RNA, 1464 nt
Filed under: uncultured bacterium
Lineage: Bacteria
Description: 16S ribosomal RNA
Rfam family: Bacterial small subunit ribosomal RNA
Source: RNAcentral